AGUGAACGCUGGCGGUAGGCCUAACACAUGCAAGUCGAACGGCAGCACAGAGGAGCUUGCUCCUUGGGUGGCGAGUGGCGGACGGGUGAGGAAUACAUCGGAAUCUACUCUGUCGUGGGGGAUAACGGAGGGAAACUUACGCUAAUACCGCAUACGACCUACGGGUGAAAGCAGGGGACCUUCGGGCCUUGCGCGAGUGACUGAGCCGAUGUCGGAUUAGCUAGUUGGCGGGGUAAAGGCCCACCAAGGCGACGAUCCGUAGCUGGUCUGAGAGGAUGAUCAGCCACACUGGAACUGAGACACGGUCCAGACUCCUACGGGAGGCAGCAGUGGGGAAUAUUGGACAAUGGGCGCAAGCCUGAUCCAGCCAUACCGCGUGGGUGAAGAAGGCCUUCGGGUUGUAAAGCCCUUUUGUUGGGAAAGAAAUCCAGCUGGCUAAUACCCGGUUGGGAUGACGGUACCCAAAGAAUAAGCACCGGCUAACUUCGUGCCAGCAGCCGCCGUAA
This 506-nucleotide ribosomal RNA is filed under the name uncultured bacterium. Its description in RNAcentral is "partial 16S ribosomal RNA". It matches the Rfam family "Bacterial small subunit ribosomal RNA", at positions 29 to 523 of the family's 1533-position model. The record is from RNAcentral.